AUGGGGGUGUAAGAUGGGAAAGCCAGAGAGAAGCAUUGCUUUUAAGGCUUCCACUUUGGGUGUCACCUUUUGAGCCCCACAGACACACGAUCCAGCCACCUCUUCACAUGGAUCCCCGAGGCUCCUGUCACAGCCUUCUAGGAGAUACCGGAUUUGGGGACUCCCUUCCCCAUUGCUCUCAUCCACAAGAAGGGACACUGAAGUGGAACCAAUCUCUGUUCUCACCCCUAAAGCCUACUUACUCUUCUUCCUAAAUUGCCUGCAUCCUCACUUCUGUCUGUUUUAGUUACUUUUCUGUGACUGGAAUAAGACACUGUGACCAACAGGCUCACAGUUUCAGAGGGGAGCAUUGCACAUCCAAAGCCAGCAUCCUUCAUCAUGGGAAAAUGCCCUGCUAUGUAUGGGUACUCCAUGGCUUUAUGAAAGUGGCCCCAGGAUAUGCAGAAUCCUUUCAACCUGCAGACUCCAGGAGUCAUCAUCAUCAUGGAAGGACCGUGAUCACUUUUACAGAAGCUCUGGGAAACCUAGGAGGUCUGGCCUGGCUGCAUUAGAUGUGUCUCCCCUGGGCUCUUUCAGGGAAAGGUGUUCAUAUGUACAGCUUUAUUCCUUUCCCCAACUUGGUAUUAACAGACUGAAAAAAAAAUGGUAACUUUUGGCUCUGUGCAUGAAGACUUUCCACCCCAAACAACUAAGAGUUUACA
Molecule: long non-coding RNA, 701 nt
Organism: Mesocricetus auratus (golden hamster)
Lineage: Eukaryota; Metazoa; Chordata; Mammalia; Rodentia; Cricetidae
Exons: 3
Source: RefSeq, a predicted model, not a curated record